Molecule: long non-coding RNA, 271 nt
Filed under: Oryza sativa Indica Group (long-grained rice)
Lineage: Eukaryota; Viridiplantae; Streptophyta; Magnoliopsida; Poales; Poaceae
Description: lncRNA OsMH63_02G017380
Source: RNAcentral
AUGGGGGCUCUCGUGUACCAGGUGCUUAGGAAGAGCUUCAACGAGUUCGAGCUAGGAGGCGAUGCUCGCAACCAUCACGGUCGCAUGCGUGUUGAGGAUCUAGCAGUGGCGCUCCGAAUCAAGGAUGGCAACAAGAAGGAAUGGUGUCCUUCCACCUCUAAGGAAGAUAGCCAUAUCAUCUUUGUGCUUGCCUUGUCUCUUUUCCCUUGUCCUCAUGGCUCUUAUCGGCAUGAGGGCCUAGUAUCCAUGAAACAUGCUUGAUACCCACAAU